GGAGGGGUGGCAGAGCGGACGAAUGCGGCGGUCUUGAAAACCGCUGAAGCCGCAAGGCUUCCGUGGGUUCGAAUCCCACCCCCUCCG
RNAcentral lists this transfer RNA (87 nucleotides) under Chloroflexota bacterium. Its description in RNAcentral is "Chloroflexi bacterium tRNA-Ser". It matches the Rfam family "tRNA". From Rfam's summary of the family: Transfer RNA (tRNA) molecules are approximately 80 nucleotides in length. Their secondary structure includes four short double-helical elements and three loops (D, anti-codon, and T loops). Further hydrogen bonds mediate the characteristic L-shaped molecular structure. tRNAs have two regions of fundamental functional importance: the anti-codon, which is responsible for specific mRNA codon recognition, and the 3' end, to which the tRNAs corresponding amino acid is attached (by aminoacyl-tRNA synthetases). tRNAs cope with the degeneracy of the genetic code in two manners: having more than one tRNA (with a specific anti-codon) for a particular amino acid; and 'wobble' base-pairing, i.e. permitting non-standard base-pairing at the 3rd anti-codon position. The record is from RNAcentral. RNAcentral also lists the same sequence under 1 other name. Lineage: Bacteria; Bacillati; Chloroflexota.